AGCAGCCGCGGCAAUUCCAGCUCCAAUAGCGUAUAUUAAAGUUGUUGCAGUUAAAAAGCUCGUAGUUGAAUUUCGGGAUCAAAGGAUCGGUCAUGCCUUGGUAUGUACUGGUUUUAUUGGUUCUCACCUUCUAAAGAACCAUAAUGUCAUUCAUUUGAUGUUAUGGGGAAUUAGGACUGUUACCUUGAAAAAAUUAGAGUGUUUAAAGCAGGCUUACGCUUGAAUACAUUAGCAUGGAAUAAUGAAAUAGGACAUCAGAUUCUAUUUUGUUGGUUUCUAGGAUCGAUGUAAUGAUUAAUAGGGAUAGUUGGGGGCAUUAGUAUUCAAUUGUCAGAGGUGAAAUUCUUGGAUUUAUUGAAGACUAACUACUGCGAAAGCAUUUGCCAAGGAUGUUUUCAUUAAUCAAGAACGAAAGUUAGGGGAUCGAAGACGAUCAGAUACCGUCGUAGUCUUAACCAUAAACUAUGCCGACUAGGGAUCGGAUGAUGUUAAUUUUUAUAAUGACUCAUUCGGCACCUUA
RNAcentral lists this ribosomal RNA (520 nucleotides) under uncultured Glomus. Its description in RNAcentral is "SSU rRNA". It matches the Rfam family "Eukaryotic small subunit ribosomal RNA", at positions 569 to 1090 of the family's 1831-position model. The record is from RNAcentral. Lineage: Eukaryota; Fungi; Glomeromycota; Glomeromycetes; Glomerales; Glomeraceae.